Molecule: ribosomal RNA, 253 nt
Filed under: uncultured bacterium
Lineage: Bacteria
Description: partial 16S ribosomal RNA
Rfam family: Bacterial small subunit ribosomal RNA
Source: RNAcentral
UACGUAGGGUGCAAGCGUUACUCGGAAUUACUGGGCGUAAAGCGUGCGCAGGCGGUUUUGUAAGACAGGUGUGAAAUCCCCGGGCUUAACCUGGGAACUGCAUUUGUGACUGCAUCGCUGGAGUGCGGCAGAGGGGGAUGGAAUUCCGCGUGUAGCAGUGAAAUGCGUAGAUAUGCGGAGGAACACCGAUGGCGAAGGCAAUCCCCUGGGCCUGCACUGACGCUCAUGCACGAAAGCGUGGGGAGCAAACAGG